CGCACCUUGCGCCCCUCGGUAUUCCGUGGGGCACGCCUGUUUGAGUGUCACGUGAAACCAUCGCCUCGAGCUCGUCUCUGAGUGCGGACUUGGAUGUUGCCGUUGAACCACCUUCGGCUCGUCUUGAAAUGCAUUAGCGGUGCCAAAUGCCCCGGCGCGCCUCGGUGUGAUAGACAUCAUCGCCGCGAAGCGCCUGGUGUGGCUCAGCUCACAGUCGUCUUCGGACAAUCUUUAACGCUCUGGCCUCAAAUCAGGUGGGACUACCCGCUGAACUUAA
RNAcentral lists this unclassified non-coding RNA (277 nucleotides) under Auriculariales sp. Its description in RNAcentral is "partial contains 5.8S ribosomal RNA, internal transcribed spacer 2, and large subunit ribosomal RNA". The record is from RNAcentral. Lineage: Eukaryota; Fungi; Basidiomycota; Agaricomycetes; Auriculariales.